Molecule: ribosomal RNA, 468 nt
Filed under: uncultured bacterium
Lineage: Bacteria
Description: partial 16S ribosomal RNA
Rfam family: Bacterial small subunit ribosomal RNA
Source: RNAcentral
GACGAACGCUGGCGGCGUGCUUAACACAUGCAAGUCGAACGGAAAGGCCCUGCUUUUGUGGGGUGCUCGAGUGGCGAACGGGUGAGUAACACGUGAGUAACCUGCCCUUGACUUUGGGAUAACUUCAUGAAACUGGGGCUAAUACCGGAUAGGAGCUCCUGCUGCAUGGUGGGGGUUGGAAAGUUUCGGCGGUUGGGGAUGGACUCGCGGCUUAUCAGCUUGUUGGUGGGGUAGUGGCUUACCAAGGCUUUGACGGGUAGCCGGGCUGAGAGGGUGACCGGCCACAUCGGGAUGGGAAUGAGACCCGGCCCCCACCCGGAGGCAGCAGUGCGGAAUAUUGCAUAAUGGGCGGAAGGCAGGUGCAACACAGCCGCGUGGGGGAUGAGAGGAAUCGGUUUGUAAUCCGCUUCCCUCUUUGACGAGGUGAGAGUGACGGUAAUGGGUAAAGAAGCACCGGCUAACUACGUG